AUACAUUUGGUAAAAACCAGUGCCAGUUUAUUACGAACAGACUAUACAACUUUAACAAUACUGGUUUACCCGAUCCUACUCUCGACGCUACUUACCUCCAAACUCUUCGUGGACAAUGUCCCCAAAAUGGUAAUCCAAGAGCCUUGGUGGAUUUUGAUCUCCGCACGCCUACGGUUUUCGACAACAAAUACUACGUGAAUCUGAAAGAAAGAAAAGGUCUUCUCCAAACCGAUCAAGUGUUGUUCUCUAGCCCCGAUGCCACAGACACGAGCCCCUUGGUGAGAGAAUAUGCUGAUGGCACACAAAAGUUCUUUGAUGCCUUCGUGGUGGCUAUGAACAGGAUGGGAAACAUUACACCUCUUACAGGAACUCAAGGACAAAUCAGGUUGAACUGUAGCGUGGUGAACUCCAACUCUCUACUCCAUGAUGUGGUGGAGAUUCUUGACAACUUUGUUAGCUCUAUGUGAGAAUUGUGUACUAAAUAUAAUAUAUGUCGCUACAAGAAUACGUAUCAAUAAAUAAAACUCUCAAAGCUGUUAUUACUUGAGAAUAUUAUAUUUAAAUUUCUCUUUUUCUAGAUUUUUGUAAAACAUACUCCAUGUGUUCUUUAUUAAUUAAUCCAAUUUCUAAGAAAAUGUUUCAAAGAAGAUAGAGCUUUAAGGUUUUCUAUGCAAUAUUUAUCAUGUUGAAUUCAAGAGAAAAUAAUACUGUAUAACUAUAAUAUUAUUGGUUUAGAGUUAUAGAAAUUUGUAAUAAAAAAAAAGAAAUGCAUUUUACAAAAUUUUAAUAUGUGUAAAAUACAUUAUUUAAGAAUAGAAGGAUUAAAUGUUCUCUCACGUGCAUGUUUUAAUCGAAUUAAAUACAUAUCAACCAAAAGAAAGAAAAAAACAAAUAUACACGUAUCACUAAAAUCUAGAUUUAUUUUUAGGAUUAGCCAUAUACGGAAGCUUCACAUCAACAUUGUGACUAAAUAUGUAAACCUCUAUUUUCUAACAAGCCACUGUCCUAAUGCCUAAUAGCGUUGAAACUUUCAUAGAGAUGGAAAGUGAUAGCUAAUCAUAUGAUUGAGGCUGUAGCAAGAGGUCGAGUUGCUGCGGCCAAGAAAUUUCUGCCAAGUCCUCGAGGAGAGAAAGAGAUAAGAAUAAUUGAAGCAAAGAUUUUUUUUUUUUUUUCAUCAUUAUAGCAAAGAUUAAAACCGUAAAUAAAUUUUCUAAAAUAUCUGGUUAUUAAAUUAGAAAUUUAAACAACUUUUAAAAUUCUUGAAUUGCUACGUUGCGUUUUAGCUUCUCUUGUAUUCUGAUAAAUCUGUAUUUUUGUAGUCCAAACCAUUUUGAUUUUCUCGUCGUAAACCAUAUAUAUGACCUAGUAACACGACUUUUAGCCGUCUACUACCAUUAUUUUUGAAAUAGAACCAAAUUAUUUUUAUUUUUAUUUUUAUUACACCUAAACAUCCAAACUAUUAAAAAAGUCUUCAAUAUCAAUUAUAAUAUCUUAGAUGCUUUUUUGUUUUUAAUGGUGUUUUACUAUGUAACGUGCACCAUUUUACUAGUGGCGCCAUCUACUAUAGAUGACCAUGUUGAUAUUAUUAUAGUAGAGAAAAUGUGAGAAAGUUUGAGGUUACAAAGUAUGAAUACCCCAAAAGAUAAAGCCUCCAAGUUAGACACGUUUUGUCCUAUAAAAGGACUCUUUAAGAUAUGGAUCUUACUCAUCUUUCUCCAUUAAACUUAAUCAAAGAUGAAGUUCUCUGUUUCUUCUUCUUCUACUACUACUUUUUUCACUUGGACAAUCUUAAUAGCAUUGGGAUGUCUUACGCUUCGUGCGUCUAUGUCCGAUGCUCAACUUACUCCUACCUUUUAUGACACUUCAUGUCCUAACGUCACCAACAUCGUAAGAGAUACCAUUGUCAACGAGUUAAGGUCAGACCCUCGUAUCGCCGCGAGCAUCCUUCGUCUUCACUUCCACGACUGCUUUGUUAACGUACGAUACUAUACUUUUUUAAGUUUUUUCACAUAUCUAUCGCGUUACUAAACUACUGUAUGUAUCAUACUACUGAUUUUUUCAUGUUUAUUUAUUCAUAUUAUUUUAACGCAUUUAUUUAUUUGAUUUGAUUAUAUAACAAUUUUAAUAAUACUAUAUAUAAGAUUCAACUAUAUAUUUAUGGAAAUUUUAUCUUUAUUCCGUAAAAUAUGGUUUUUAUGAAUUACAAAAGAUUCAACUAUAUAUUUAUGGAUCCACGUGAUACAAUGACUAACAAUUUGUGAAAUUUAAAUUUUGGACUUUUUGAAAGGGUUGUGACGCAUCGAUCUUGUUAGACAACACAACAUCCUUCCGAACAGAGAAAGAUGCGGGUGGAAAUGCAAAUUCGGCUAGAGGAUUUCCAGUGAUCGAUAGAAUGAAAGCCGCAAUAGAGAGGGCUUGCCCGAGAACUGUUUCAUGCGCUGAUACGCUAACCAUCGCUGCUCAACAAUCUGUCACUUUGGUAUCUAUAUUUUGGCACUUAUCAUUAAUUAUUAUAUUCAUUACUGCUUAAGAGUCACUUAAUUAACAAAUUAAACACGACUAUUUAAGAUUGAAAAUAUGAUAUACAGUAUAUAUCUUGUUUGUUUGAGAAAGUCACGCACUCAAUAUUUAGUAUCAACUUUCCAACCAUUUGACAAAUAAUUCAAAAUUAUUAGGGAAAAUAUUCAAAACGCGUGGUCCCGUAAUUGAAUUUUGAUGGCUUUUACUACUAUUGUUGAAUGAAAGAAAAGGAAAAUAGAUCACAUAUCACAAUAGUGUAAUUGGUAACCAAAAAGAAUUACUUAUAUUUUUCAUAUUUUGUUAAAGAAAAUAUUGGAGAUUAAAAACCUUCAUAUCAAGUAGUCUAUGAAAUAAUAUAACAUGUUUUUUUUCUUUGAACACAUUGAAAUUUAAUGAUGAUAUCAUCGUAUAGGCAGGAGGUCCUUCAUGGAGAGUUCCAUUGGGGAGAAGAGACAGCUUACAAGCAUUUUUGCAACUCGCUAAUGCGAAUCUUCCUGGUCCAUCCUCCACACUUCUACGACUUAAAGAUAGAUUUAGAAACGUUGGUCUCGACCGUCCUUCUGAUCUCGUUGCUCUAUCCGGUAAUUAACAAAAAGAUAUUAAACACCAUUUCAUGUACUUAGUUGUAAUCAGCUAAGUUUGUUAUUUAUCGAUCUUAUGGCCUUUCUUUUGCUAGGUGCCCACACAUUUGGUAAAAACCAAUGCCGGUUUAUUAUAAACAGACUAUACAACUUUAACAGUACUGGUUUACCCGACCCUACUCUCAACACUACUUACCUCCAAACCCUUCGUGGACUAUGUCCCCAAAAUGGUAAUCUAAGUGCCUUGGUGGAUUUUGACCUGCGCACGCCCACGGUUUUCGACAACAAAUACUACGUAAAUCUUGGUGAGAGAAAAGGUCUUAUCCAGAGCGACCAAGAGCUGUUCUCUAGCCCAAAUGCCACGGACACAAUCCCUUUGGUGAGAUCAUAUGCUAGUAGCACACAAACCUUCUUCAAUGCGUUUGUGGAGGCCAUGAAUAGGAUGGGAAAUAUCACACCUCUUACUGGAACUCAAGGACAAAUCAGGUUGAAUUGUAGGGUGGUGAAUUCCAACUCUCUACUCCAAGAUGUUGUGGAAAUUGUUGACUUUGUUAGCUCCAUGUGAGAAUUGUUUACUAAAUAUGUAUGUGGCUAUAAGAAUGCGUGUUAAUGAAUAAAACUCUCAAGAUGUUACUUGAGGUUAUGUAAUUUAAAUCUCUCUUUUUCUAGUUUUUUUCCUAAAACAUAGUAUAUACUAAAUGUUCCCACGUUCAUGUUUUCAUCGAAUUCAUUUAUUUCAACCAAAAAAAAAUAAAAAAUGAUACAGAUGAAUUUAGACAUAUGAUUCGCAAUAUACUGAAGUCCGACAUCAACGUUACGACAAUAUAUAUAUACCUUGAAAAUUAAUAACACCGUUGAAAAUUACAUAAAUACAUAAAGAUGGAAAAGUGACAGGUAAUCACAUGCAUGAGACUAUAGCCAGAGGUCAAGUUACUGCGGCUUAUGCUGCUAAGGUUAAAAGAUUAAAACUGUAAAUAAUUCUUCGAAAAAUAUCUGAUGAGAAAAUUAAUGUGAGAAAGUUUAAGGUUACCCAAAAAAAAAAAAAAAAAGGCUUCCGAGUUUUGUCUAUAAAAGGACUCUUUAAGAUAUGGAGCUUCCACAUCUUUAAUUUCUCCAUUAAACCUAAUCAAAUAGUUUUCUUUGUCCUUUUAAAAGAUGAAGUUCUCUGCUUCUUCUCCUUUGUUCGCUUGGAAAAUCUUAAUCACAUUGUCAUGUUUUAUACUAUAUGCUUCUUUUUCCGAUGCUCAGCUUACCCAUACCUUCUACGACAAUUCAUGUCCUAAUGUUACGAACAUCGUACGAGAUACCAUUGUCAAUGAGUUAAGGUCAGAUCCUCGUAUCGCUGCAAGCAUCCUUCGUCUUCACUUCCACGACUGCUUUGUAAAUGUAAGAUAUUACUUUUUCUCAUAUGUAUCAUAUUACUGAUGAUGUUUCCAUGUUUAUUUACUCAUAUUAUAUCUUUUGAUUCUUUUCUAUGAUCAACAUUUGAAUUUUAUAUAAAGCCAUUUUAAUGUGAUUAUAUAUAAACAUUUCGAUAUCAUAGUAUUUUGGUUUAUUCAAGAUCAUUUAUCUUGAUUGAGUAAAAUAUGGGUUUUAUAUAUGAAUUACAAAAAGAAAAAAAUCAACGUACAUCGUUAGUAGAACUGGUGGUAAAGAUUCAUUAACUAUUGUACACUGACUAACAAUAUGGCAAAUGCUAUUUUGGACUUUUGAAAGGGUUGUGAUGCAUCGAUCUUGCUAGACAACUCAACAUCAUUCCGAACAGAGAAAGAGGCGCUUCCAAACGCAAAUUCUGCUAGGGGAUUUCCAGUAAUCGAUAGAAUGAAAGCCGCGAUAGAGAGGGCUUGCCCGAGAACCGUUUCAUGCGCUGAUAUGCUCACCAUCGCGGCUCAACAAUCUGUUUCUUUGGUAUAUACAAUGCUCAACUUAUCAUUAAUUCUUUUAUUCAUUACUGUUUACAAUAAUGAUAUAGUCACUUAACAAAUUAAGUGAAAUAUAUGAAUGAUAUCAUAGGCGGGAGGUCCUUCUUGGAAAGUUCCAUUGGGGAGAAGAGACAGUUUACAAGCAUUUUUUCAACUCGCUAAUGAUAAUCUUCCAGCUCCAAACUUCACACUUCCACUACUUAAAGAUAAAUUUAGAAAUGUUGGCCUUGACCGUCCUUCUGAUCUCGUUGCUCUCUCCGGUAAUUAAUAGAAGGAUAUUACACACCAUUUGAUAUGUAGUUUGUAAUCAGCUGAGUUUUGUUACUAAAUUGAUCUUAUGGUUUCUCUUUUUGUUAGGUGGCCAUACAUUUGGUAAAAACCAGUGCCAGUUUAUUACGAACAGACUAUACAACUUUAACAGUACCGGUCUACCCGAUCCUACUCUCAACGCUACUUACCUCCAAACUCUUCGUGGAUUGUGUCCUCCUAAUGGUAACCAAAGUGCCUUGGUGGAUUUUGAUCUGCGUACACCUACGGUUUUCGACAACAAAUACUACAUGAAUCU
RNAcentral lists this long non-coding RNA (5588 nucleotides) under Capsella rubella. RNAcentral's name for it is "long non-coding RNA (CRUB_LNC002752)". The record is from RNAcentral. Lineage: Eukaryota; Viridiplantae; Streptophyta; Magnoliopsida; Brassicales; Brassicaceae.